GUGGAUAUAGUUCAAUUGGUAGAGCGCCAGAUUGUGGUUCUGGUUGUUGCGGGUUCAAGUCCCGUUAUCCACC
Molecule: transfer RNA, 73 nt
Filed under: Spirochaetaceae bacterium
Lineage: Bacteria; Pseudomonadati; Spirochaetota; Spirochaetia; Spirochaetales; Spirochaetaceae
Also listed under: 3 other names
Description: tRNA-His
Rfam family: tRNA
About the family: Transfer RNA (tRNA) molecules are approximately 80 nucleotides in length. Their secondary structure includes four short double-helical elements and three loops (D, anti-codon, and T loops).
Source: RNAcentral